GACGAACGCUGGCGGCGUGCUUAACACAUGCAAGUCGAACGGAAAGGCCCUGCUUGCCGGGUCCUCGAGUGGCGAACGGGUGAGUAACACGCGGGUGAUCCGCCCCGCACUUCGGGAUAAGACUGGUAAAAAGGGUCUAUUACCGGAUAGGAGCCAUCUUUAGUGUGGUGGUUGGCAAGUUUUUUCGGUGUAGGAUGAGCUCGCGGCCUAUCAGCUUGUUGGUGGGGUAAUGGCCUACCAAGGCGGCGAGGGGCAGCCGGCCUGAGGGGAGGUACGGCCACACAGAGACUGAGAUGCGGCCCAAACAGCGACGGGAGGCAGCAGGGGGGAAUAUUGCACGAUGGACGCAAGCCUGAUGAAGCGACGCCGCGUGGGGGAUAAAGGCGUUCGGGUAGUAAACUGCUUUCGCGAGUGAAGAAGCCAUUUUGUGACGGUACCUAGAUAGAAAGCACCGGCUAACUACGUG
RNAcentral lists this ribosomal RNA (466 nucleotides) under uncultured bacterium. Its description in RNAcentral is "partial 16S ribosomal RNA". It matches the Rfam family "Bacterial small subunit ribosomal RNA", at positions 28 to 507 of the family's 1533-position model. The record is from RNAcentral.